UGAGUGAGAAUCAAAGUGACAAUUCUUGAAAUUUGAAAGCUAUUUGCAAUCGCAUUACAAGCAGUACAUCGACACAACUCAAUAAUAAGACCAAGAUCACCAUUAGCUCCAACUCAUUUUACCAGUAAUCAUUACAAGAGCAUUUCCCAUCCUUGAAAUGAUGGAAUCGAUUGGAAUCCCUCACCACAAUUUCUCUUCCUUUGACGAUUGAAAAGUAUUUGAAUGCUGUG
RNAcentral lists this unclassified non-coding RNA (230 nucleotides) under Hevea brasiliensis (rubber tree). Lineage: Eukaryota; Viridiplantae; Streptophyta; Magnoliopsida; Malpighiales; Euphorbiaceae. The record is from RNAcentral.